RNAcentral lists this ribosomal RNA (253 nucleotides) under uncultured bacterium. RNAcentral's name for it is "partial 16S ribosomal RNA". It matches the Rfam family "Bacterial small subunit ribosomal RNA", at positions 524 to 776 of the family's 1533-position model. The record is from RNAcentral.
GACGUAGGGGACGAGCGUUGUCCGGAUUUAUUGGGCGUAAAGCGCGCGUAGGCGGCCUGGUAAGUCGGAUGUGAAAACCCGGGGCUCAACCCCGGGCCUGCAUCCGAAACUGCCCGGCUAGAGGUAGGUAGGGGAGAUCGGAAUUCCUGGUGUAGCGGUGAAAUGCGCAGAUAUCAGGAGGAACACCGGUGGCGAAGGCGGAUCUCUGGGCCUUACCUGACGCUCAGGCGCGAAAGCUAGGGGAGCGAACAGG